Molecule: small nuclear RNA, 103 nt
Organism: Saimiri boliviensis boliviensis (Bolivian squirrel monkey)
Lineage: Eukaryota; Metazoa; Chordata; Mammalia; Primates; Cebidae
Source: Ensembl
AUCAUCUGGCAGCAUAUAUACUAAAAUUAGAACAAUACAGAGAAGACUAGCGUGGGCCUUGUGCAAGGAUGUCACACAAAUUUGUGAAAUGUUCCAUAUUUUU